CAGUCGCCGCGGUAAUACGUAGGUGGCAAGCGUUGUCCGGAUUUAUUGGGCGUAAAGCGAGCGCAGGCGGUUCCUUAAGUCUGAUGUGAAAGCCCACGGCUCAACCGUGGAAGGUCAUUGGAAACUGGGGAACUUGAGUGCAGAAGAGGAGAGUGGAAUUCCAUGUGUAGCGGUGAAAUGCGUAGAUAUAUGGAGGAACACCAGUGGCGAAGGCGACUCUCUGGUCUGUAACUGACGCUGAGGCUCGAAAGCGUGGGGAGCAAACAGGAUUAGAUACCCGGGUAGUCCCUGUCUCUUAUAC
This 301-nucleotide ribosomal RNA is filed under the name uncultured bacterium. Its description in RNAcentral is "partial 16S ribosomal RNA". It matches the Rfam family "Bacterial small subunit ribosomal RNA", at positions 509 to 807 of the family's 1533-position model. The record is from RNAcentral.